AUUGAACGCUGGCGGCAUGCCUUACACAUGCAAGUCGAACGGUAACGCGGGGCAACCUGGCGACGAGUGGCGAACGGGUGAGUAAUGUAUCGGAACGUGCCCAGUAGUGGGGGAUAGCCCGGCGAAAGCCGGAUUAAUACCGCAUACGACCUACGGGUGAAAGGGGGGGAGUCGCAAGACCUCUCGCUAUUGGAGCGGCCGAUAUCAGAUUAGCUAGUUGGUGGGGUAAGGGGCCCACCAAGGCAACGAUCUGUAGCUGGUCUGAGAGGACGACCAGCCACACUGGGACUGAGACACGGCCCAGACUCCUACGGGAGGCAGCAGUGGGGAAUUUUGGACAAUGGGCGCAAGCCUGAUCCAGCCAUGCCGCGUGCGGGAAGAAGGCCUUCGGUUGUAACCGACUUUGUUCAGGGAAGAAACGGUACUGAUCUAAUAAAUUAGGGCUAAUGACGGUACCUGAAGAAUAAGCACCGGCUAACUACGUGCCAGCAGCCGCGGUAAU
Molecule: ribosomal RNA, 502 nt
Filed under: uncultured bacterium
Lineage: Bacteria
Description: bacterial SSU rRNA
Rfam family: Bacterial small subunit ribosomal RNA
Source: RNAcentral